UGGCUUCGCAGCCCGGAAGUAUAGCGCCAUUUCCUGACCUUACCAAGUCCACAAGCCAUGUCUCUGCAGUCCCCUUCUUUCUCCCAUUCUUGCAGCCUAGACAGCACCAACCACAGUAAUGAUCAGAAGUUGAAUUUCUAGCUGACCAAUUUACUGUUGAUCCUCCACCAACAGUAGAGCCUGCAAGUAUAAGCACAUUCAUAUUAUCAGUUGCCACUAAUCCACUUGCUUGGUACAUUUCUUCCAUGGCUGGCCCUUCUAGUAGUGACAGGUUUGAUGCUUCUGAAUGCUUGGUUUUGGCUUUGAAUUGGGGGUCACUUCCUGGGUAGUCAAUUGCUUUCCAUGAGAUAUUGUUCCUCUCCUCAUCAACCUGAUACAGUGGCAGAGCAAGAAAUUUUCUUAGAGGUAAACUCUUAACAUGCUAGCUUCUAAUAGAUAUAAGGUUAAAAUACAUGUUUAGUACCUAGCUUUGAGGUUUGUAUCUAUUUGAUCCUUAAACUUUCAAAAGUAUCUACUAAGUUAAACUUUCAAUUUUGUGUCUUAUAUGUCAUAGAAUUCGAAGUUUUUAAGAGUUAAUUGAUCUAUUAGAUAUAAAUUUAAAGUUUGUCUAAUGCAACUCUAAAUUCUUAAU
Molecule: non-coding RNA, 631 nt
Organism: Benincasa hispida (wax gourd)
Lineage: Eukaryota; Viridiplantae; Streptophyta; Magnoliopsida; Cucurbitales; Cucurbitaceae
Source: RefSeq, a predicted model, not a curated record